AGUCUUAUAGUCAAAAUUAAUGAUUUUAGACUGCAAUUCUAAAGAAGUAGAAAUCUACUAAGACUU
This 66-nucleotide transfer RNA is filed under the name Philagra albinotata. RNAcentral's name for it is "tRNA-Cys". The record is from RNAcentral. Lineage: Eukaryota; Metazoa; Arthropoda; Insecta; Hemiptera; Aphrophoridae.